UUGCUCUGGUCGUGCCCCACACAGGCGCGCUUUUCCUUCAGGGGCUGUGACUGGUUAUGGAAAACGGCACACCUGCCACUCUGUCAGACCAUGAGGUUUAAUUGAGUGAACACCGCUGUUCCAGGGCUCUGCCUUUCGCUGAACGCUCCUGCUGGGCUCGGGCCUCCCGAGUAGCUGGAAGUACAGAUAAUCACAGCUGGCUUAUCAAUAUUGCUGUUUGAUGCGAUCCUGACCAGUGCAGCCACGGGAUGUGAACUGUCCUGCCUUUGAUACCGGUGGCAGCCUGAUGACAGACACCGGAUGCAUGAAAAGGCAAAAGGAGCACGAGGAGGAAGGAACACGGGUUCAGGGAAAGAGCGGAGGCUUUGCAAGGACGGACCCUCAGUCUCAGGUAUGUCUUUAUCAGCAGUGUGAGAACAGACGAAUCAGCAGCGUGAGAACAGACGAAAUUACUCAGUCUCAUGUAGGUCUUUAUCAGCAGCAUGAGAACAGAUGAAUACAACCGCCAAGGGAAGGUUCUGUCCAAUCUGAAACAAUUUCCAACUCUUUUACCUUUCCUCUGUGACUGCUUUUAUUUCUUCAAAUCAAACUGGUGGAAAAGCAGCAACAAGCACCCACAGGCUGUGAGCUUUUCAGUCGCAAACGUGUACACAAGC
This 656-nucleotide small RNA is filed under the name Pongo abelii (Sumatran orangutan). RNAcentral describes it as "processed transcript". The record is from RNAcentral. Lineage: Eukaryota; Metazoa; Chordata; Mammalia; Primates; Hominidae.